CCACUGGACUGCUGUGUGUGCUGAUGGGCCUGGUACCGAGGACGUGGCUUGUGGCAUCGGAGCUCAUGGGUUCGUGCCCAGGAGCAGACAGGAACAAGGUUCCAGGCAGCAGGCAUGGGAAAAUGGGGGGAAAGCGUAUCCAUAAGCACGGAGUGUGCACACGUGUGCAUAAGCAGAGACGCACAUACUCUCUCCCGCGCACCCGGUGGGGCGGCCCGCUCUGCACACCUGUGCCCACGCGCUGCUGGUGCAGGUGGACCGAACAUGUCUGGAAAGCUUGUCUCACAACAGGGGAAUUCCGCUUUCCCGAAGGGGAGCAUCACCGAGGCUGUGCCCGAGCGUUUGGAUGUACGUGUCUGUGUCCACCGAGCGUGAGAAGCCUGCCUGCCAUCCACAUCUGUGUCCAGUGAAGAUGCCAGGG
This is a long non-coding RNA of Ailuropoda melanoleuca (giant panda), 421 nucleotides long. RefSeq lists it as uncharacterized. The transcript has 3 exons. The record is from RefSeq and is a predicted model, not a curated record. Lineage: Eukaryota; Metazoa; Chordata; Mammalia; Carnivora; Ursidae.